This 493-nucleotide ribosomal RNA is filed under the name uncultured bacterium. RNAcentral's name for it is "partial 16S ribosomal RNA". It matches the Rfam family "Bacterial small subunit ribosomal RNA", at positions 28 to 506 of the family's 1533-position model. The record is from RNAcentral.
GACGAACGCUGGCGGCGUGCUUAACACAUGCAAGUCGAACGGUGAAGCGCCUUCCUUUUUGGUGGGUGUGGAUGAGUGGCGAACGGGUGAGUAACACGUGAGUAACCUGCCCCCUUCUUCUGGAUAACCGCAUGAAAGUGUGGCUAAUACGGGAUAUUCUGGGUCUGUCGCAUGAUGGGUCUGGGAAAGCUAUUGUUUCGGUGGGGGAUGGGCUCGCGGCCUAUCAGCUUGUUGGUGGGGUGACGGCCUACCAAGGCGGUGGCGGGUAGCCGGCCUGAGAGGUCGGCCGCUCUCGCUGGGACAGACAGUCCAGCCACACACGUGCGGGAGGCGUCGGGGGUAAUGAUCGAUGGGCGGGCGCAUGCCUGAGGCAGCGCGCGCGGGUGAGGAAUGCAUGCCUUUUGGUAGUGACCCUUUUUGGCAAGGAAAGGAAGCCUGCUUCGUUUGUGGUGGUGUUGAGGUUAGCAGGAUAAGAGCCCCCGGCUACUUACUU